RNAcentral lists this ribosomal RNA (253 nucleotides) under uncultured bacterium. Its description in RNAcentral is "partial 16S ribosomal RNA". It matches the Rfam family "Bacterial small subunit ribosomal RNA", at positions 524 to 776 of the family's 1533-position model. The record is from RNAcentral.
UACAGAGGUCUCAAGCGUUGUUUGGAUUCAUUGGGCGUAAAGGGUGCGUAGGCGGCGCGGUAAGUCGGGUGUGAAAUCUCGGAGCUUAACUCCGAAACUGCAUUCGAUACUGCCGUGCUUGAGGACUGGAGAGGAGACUGGAAUUUACGGUGUAGCGGUGAAAUGCGUAGAUAUCGUAAGGAAGACCAGUGGCGAAGGCGGGUCUCUGGACAGUUCCUGACGCUGAGGCACGAAGGCCAGGGGAGCAAACGGG